RNAcentral lists this ribosomal RNA (440 nucleotides) under uncultured bacterium. RNAcentral describes it as "partial 16S ribosomal RNA". It matches the Rfam family "Bacterial small subunit ribosomal RNA", at positions 338 to 795 of the family's 1533-position model. The record is from RNAcentral.
CCUACGGGAGGCAGCAGUAGGGAAUCUUGCUCAAUGGGGGAAACCCUGAAGCAGCAACGCCGCGUGGAGGAUGAAGGUUUUCGGAUCGUAAACCCCUUUUGUUAGAGAAGAUAAUGACGGUAUCUAACGAAUAAGCACCGGCUAACUCCGUGCCAGCAGCCGCGGUAAUACGGAGGGUGCAAGCGUUACUCGGAAUCACUGGGCGUAAAGAGCGCGUAGGCGGGAUAGCAAGUCAGAUGUGAAAUCCUACGGCUUAACCAUAGAACUGCAUUUGAAACUGUUAUUCUAGAGUAUGGGAGAGGUAGGUGGAAUUCUUGGUGUAGGGGUAAAAUCCGUAGAGAUAAAGAGGAAUACUCAUGGCGAAGGCGACCUGCUAGAACAUAACUGACGCUGAUGCGCGAAAGCGUGGGGAGCAAACAGGAUUAGAUACCCCGGUAGUC